CCUACGGGCGGCAGCAGUGAGGAAUAUUGGUCCAUGGGCGCUAGCCUGAACCAGCCACGUAGCGUGAAGGAUGACUGCCCUCUGGGUUGUAACCUUCUUUUAUAUGGGAAUCAAGUGCAGUAUGUAUACUGCUUUGCAUGUACCUUAUGACUCAGGCUCGGCUAACUCCGUGCCAGCAGCCGCUGUAAUACGGAGGAUCCGAUCGUUAGCCGGAGUUAUUGGGUUUAAAGGGAGCGUAGGCGGUUUGUUAAGUCAGUUGUGAAAGUUUUCGGCUCAACCGUAAAAUUGCAGUUGAUACUGGCAUCCUUGAGUACAGUAGAGGUAGGCGGAAUUCGUGGUGUAGCGGUGAAAUGCGUAGAGAUCACGAAGAACUCCGAUUGCGAAGGCAGCCUGCUGGACUGUAACUGACGCUGAUGCUCGAAAGUGUGGGUAUCAAACAGGAUUAGAUACCCGGGUAGUC
Molecule: ribosomal RNA, 460 nt
Filed under: uncultured bacterium
Lineage: Bacteria
Description: partial 16S ribosomal RNA
Rfam family: Bacterial small subunit ribosomal RNA
Source: RNAcentral